GAUGAACGCUGGCGGCGUGCCUAAUACAUGCAAGUCGAGCGAACAGACGAGGAGCUUGCUCCUCUGACGUUAGCGGCGGACGGGUGAGUAACACGUGUAUUACCUCCCUAUCAUACUGGUAUAACUUCGUGAAACCGGCGCUAAUACCGGAUAAUAUCUUGUACCGCAUGGUUCAAUAGUGAAUUUCGGUUUUGCUUUCACUUAUAGCUGGAUCCCCUCCGCAUUAGCUAGUUGGUAAGGUACCGGCUUACCAAGGCACCGAUGCGUAGCCGAUCGUAGAGGGUGAGCGGGCACGAUGGAACGUAGACACAGACCGGGCACCUGCGAGGGGCGAGAGUAGGAAGGCAGACAGAAUGGGCGAAAGCCUGACAGAGCGAGGCAGCGUGAGGGAUGAAGGUCGUCGGAGCGUAGAACGCUGUUAGUAGGGAAGAACAAAUGUGUAAGUAACUAUGCACGUCGUGACGGUACCUAAUCAGAAAGCAACGGCUAACUACGUG
Molecule: ribosomal RNA, 497 nt
Filed under: uncultured bacterium
Lineage: Bacteria
Description: partial 16S ribosomal RNA
Rfam family: Bacterial small subunit ribosomal RNA
Source: RNAcentral